UCUAAGGUGUUGCUGCCCCGGUUGCCGCUAAUAAAACCAAUGCACAGCACCGGAAUUUCAGGGGCGGAGAAGCAGCUCUGGAGAGAACCUGGCCCGGUCCACGGACUUUACAGAUGAAGCAACUGGGCCAGAGAAGCCAAGAGGCGCUUUGCUUACUCGGGGCCUGACGCGGGCCCUGUGUGACCUUUAUGCUCCGUGCGCACGGUCACCUCACACGCUCUGCCUCCCGUGUGAAUUCGGCAUCAGCCUGAAGCCUCUGCCAAGCCUGGGCUCGGAGAGCUCAGCCCCAUGUGUGGAUGAGAAGAGAGUCGUGGCAACACUGCAGCCUGCAGGAAAAACAUACCACAAAGAACUAGAAGCAAGGGUGCAAGGAGAUACCUGCCAGCCCGCUUCACCCCGGGGACGAUGGUAAACACGGCGUGGUCCACGCACACAGCGGAGCCCGGCCCCGCCUCGAAGAGGAAGGGCCUCUCGCACAGGCUGCAGCGGGGCUGGGCCUCGGAGGCAGGAUGCGCAGAGAGAUAAGCCAGUGAUGCAGAGACAACGCUGUCUGACUCCGCUUGCCUGAGUCUCUCUCGGGUCGUCAGCUUCACGGAGACAGAGAGCAGCGCGGAGGCGGGGACGAGGCCCUGUCUGUUGUUGAUCGGGGACAGGAGUCCGAUUUUGCAAGACGGAACAUGCCGUUGUUCGGGGCACACCUUUCGGAUACACUUAGGACUACGCGUCAAUGUGGUCGUGCGGGUGUCUCGCCACACAUGAAAACUGACAGCAACGAAAGACCAAGUAACCGCGUGGUGUGACUUUGCGCGGGCACAGGUUACUCCCGGAAGAAGGCGCCCCCGACUGUGCAGUCUCUGCAGGGGCAGGACCAGGGACUUUGCACACACUGUCAACUUCCAGCACGUUCUUAGCAUCUGCCUUUUGCAGGUUUUCCGUUUAAGGAGCAAGGCUGGCCAACAAGCCCGCAGCCCUCUCAAACAGCAGCAGGCCGUUCAGAGCUAGCGGGUCGGGCUGGGGGCUCUCCCCACACGCACGCGUCGGGUUUUCGGCAGAGACCCUCCACGUGCGGCCUCAGAGGCUUCGCACUUGCAUCUCUAGAAGAGACGCCGUCUCAAGCAUCUGGGCAGCUGUUUAUUCACGGGCGCCCAAAAGUGCAGCCUGGGGGGCAUAAA
RNAcentral lists this long non-coding RNA (1172 nucleotides) under Sus scrofa (pig). RNAcentral describes it as "lncRNA (ENSSSCG00025068614.1)". Lineage: Eukaryota; Metazoa; Chordata; Mammalia; Artiodactyla; Suidae. The record is from RNAcentral.